Molecule: ribosomal RNA, 544 nt
Filed under: uncultured bacterium
Lineage: Bacteria
Description: partial 16S ribosomal RNA
Rfam family: Bacterial small subunit ribosomal RNA
Source: RNAcentral
UGGGGAAUUUUGGACAAUGGGCGAAAGCCUGAUCCAGCAAUGCCGCGUGUGUGAAGAAGGCCUUCGGGUUGUAAAGCACUUUUGUCCGGAAAGAAAUCCUUGGCUCUAAUACAGUCGGGGGAUGACGGUACCGGAAGAAUAAGCACCGGCUAACUACGUGCCAGCAGCCGCGGUAAUACGUAGGGUGCAAGCGUUAAUCGGAAUUACUGGGCGUAAAGCGUGCGCAGGCGGUUUGCUAAGACCGAUGUGAAAUCCCCGGGCUCAACCUGGGAACUGCAUUGGGUGACUGGCAGGCUAGAGUAUGGCAGAGGGGGGUUAGAAUUCCACGUGUAGCAGUGAAAUGCGUAGAGAUGUGGAGGAAUACCGGUGGCGAAGGCAGCCCCCUGGGCCAAUACUGACGCUCAUGCACGAAAGCGUGGGGAGCAAACAGGAUUAGAUACCCUGGUAGUCCACGCCCUAAACGAUGUCAACUAGUUGUUGGGGAUUCAUUUCCUAGUAACGUAGCUAACGCGUGAAGUUGACCGCCUGGGGAGUACGGUCGCAA